RNAcentral lists this unclassified non-coding RNA (3260 nucleotides) under Monomorium pharaonis (pharaoh ant). RNAcentral's name for it is "orexin receptor type 2, transcript variant X6". Lineage: Eukaryota; Metazoa; Arthropoda; Insecta; Hymenoptera; Formicidae. The record is from RNAcentral.
CGUGUAAAAAAUCUAUUGGAACUAUGGAAAAAACCUGCAUUUCGAAUCUGAUACUAUUGGUUCUAAUAAUUUUUUCGCUAAUCCAGUAGUGUUUUCUCAUGAGAGAUACGGUUUCACAAAGAAUUUACAAAUUACUUGACGUUAUUAGAAAUUGACUCGUCAAACUAUAUUUUUUUUUAGAUUGCGGUGUGCACCAGGAUUAUGCAAUCUCGCGGUGGAGAAAAGUAGUUAACGCCGGUAUGAGUACAAGUAGGUGAAAUAUUUUGGUCCUUCUAGAUUGAGCAAUUUUCGCGGCGUGCAAGCGCGCGGCGUCGUCGUGACCGACGUGCACACACACACCUCACGGUCUCGUUAAAACAGCGCACCUCAGUUUCGCAGAGUCUGCCGGCGCGUUCGCAUCCUUCCGCGCGGAAGGAGAGAUCAGGCGCGCAAGUACCCUCGUUUCGUUCCAGGGUGUUCACACCCGUUUGCCUAUACCCGAGCAAACACACCGUAACGAUCCUGCGGCGACUACUCCUCGCGACAGCCCGUAUCCGGAGAUUCGCGCGGAGAGUGCAGUCCGGAGAAAAACGGCGAAAUGUGUCGGAGAGAAAUGCGGGUUUCGAAAACUUUGUGAAGUCGCGCGAAACUUUGCAACGCGUAAAUGUAAUCUUCGAUUUUUCGCUCGGCAGGAGGUUCGCGUGCAAACACCGUCGUCGUCGGCGAUUUUUCCCCUUUGAUAAAUGGAAGAACAUCGCCGGGAUAAAAUACAAAGACAACCCCUGAUUUUGGCGAGAUAAAAUUGGACGAACUGUUUCCGAACGAUUUAAAUACGAAUUGGAACGUUUUUUGUCCGCGAAUCUCACAUUGUGUGUCUAUCGGAGCCGAUCUGAAUCGCUGUGACUCGAUUUAAUGAGGAAAAUGCGGUUUACGGCAGGUGUAACUCGAAACUAUUUGGAUCUCACGAGUCGGGUGUCUACGGUAUUCGGCUGCACCAAAGUGUAUUACAAUGUGUUAUUACGGCCGGAACUUGGCAGUCCAUAUUAAAGUUACGAAGCUCGAGUGCGCAACGCGAGAAUAUUAUACCGUACACACACAGAGACGACGAACGAUUCAAUUUCGUUCUUACAGCGCGCUCGUUCUUACAGAGAAGCUGAUUACAAUCUGAAGAAGAACGGAAUGCGUUGUCUCGCCGGUUCAAAGAACAUUCUACACCGGAGUCAUGAUCCGUGAAAGAAGAAGAAAACGAGUGUCGCGAACUUUAUAAGUGUAAACUGAUCAUUGUGAAAACCAACGUCUCGAAUUUGCAUCUGUUCGCGCGCGAAUCAUUUGAAAACGGAGAUUUUUAUUCGACGUCUGUAUUCGUGACGUCAGGGUAUCUCCCCGUGCGACUUAUUCGACUUCGAUAAUUCGGCGAGCGGUAAUUUAUCCAUCCGAAUUCCGCCGGGUGACGAAUUCGUGAUGCCGCUGGCGACGGGACGAGCGACUUAGCGGGACAUUGCAAUCGAGGAUACGCAAUGAGAGAUCGAAGCAUGAAUCUCGCCGUGCUGAUCGUCACCUGGCUGACGGUGACGACGUCGCGCUCGUGCGUCGCGCUCGACGCGACCGAGGAGGAGGACCCGGGCGAUUAUUACCCGUACGCGGACGACGAUGGCAACCACCUCGACUACGCGAACGCCACGAACUGCACGAACGACUACUGCAUUCCGGACGAGGACUACAUCGACCUGAUGGUGCAGCAUAUAUUCCCCGAGUUCUCCGACUGGGUGCUGAUCGCGAUGCACAGCGUCGUCUUCGUGGUCGGCCUGAUCGGCAACGCGCUCGUCUGCAUGGCCGUCUAUCGCAACCACUCGAUGCGCACCGUGACCAAUUAUUUCAUCGUCAACCUGGCGGUGGCCGACCUCCUCGUCCUGCUCAUCUGUCUGCCGCCGUCGGUGCUAUGGGACGUCACGGAGACCUGGUUUCUCGGGCUGAAACUCUGUAAGGCUGUGCCGUAUCUUCAGACAGUGUCGGUGAGUAUCAGCGUUUUGACGCUGACUUUCAUAUCCAUCGACCGAUGGUACGCUAUAUGUUUCCCAUUGAGAUUCAAGUCGACGACAGCUCGAGCGAAAACCGCUAUCAUAGUGAUUUGGAUGAUAUCGCUGCUCUUUGACAUUCCAGAAUUACUGGUGCUGCACACGGUGCCGUCAAACAGUAGAGUGCAGACUGUAUUAUUCACGCAGUGUGUUUGCUUAUGGAGCCAAGAGAGUCAAACCACCUUCACGAUUAUCAAACUGAUCUUUUUGUACACAAUGCCGUUGCUUUUGAUGAGCGUGGCGUAUUGGCAGAUUGUGCGCGUUCUAUGGAAAAGUGAUAUUCCAGGACACAAUUUGUCUACCAGAGUCUGUCAUUCAACUGAGAUUCCAUUGUCCGGGGGUGGAAAUCCGGAAGGUCAAUUGAGAUCUCGACGGAAAGCGGCGAAGAUGUUGGUCGCCGUAGUCAUUACAUUCGCGAUAUGUUUCUUGCCGGUGCAUUUGCUCUCUAUUCUAAGAUGUACCAUGACGUUACCCUCGAAUCAAUGGACGAUCGCCAUUAGUCUAAUCGCCCAUUGGCUUUGUUAUUUCAACAGCGCGGUGAAUCCUGUCAUCUAUAAUUUUAUGAGUGGUAAGUUCCGGCGGGAGUUCCGUCGUAGUUUCCGGGAGUGCGGCACACCGAGCAAGGAACGGACGAUGACGCUGCCGGUGACCUGCCGGCAUCCCCCGCCGAUCAGCGACGAGUACACGAGGGGGUGCCGUACGAGCUUGCGAGAUCGACCGUUUUGACGGCGCGGGGCGAAACGAGUCCCGUGCAAGAAAAUGAAAGUAGACCUCGACCACGCGACGCCAAAUGUUGCCGAGACGACGUUUAACGGCGAGAUGAAAACGGGAUCGGAUAUUGGUGCACGUGCUUAGUGACCGAUCGCGAGCUUAGGACGAGCCGUAAGGUGGUUGGAAAAUAUUACUUUUACUGAUGAGAGUAUGGGACAUAAUGUCGACGCAGCAGAUUGUAGAAUGUUGACUUACCCGAGGGUGAACGGCGUGUGCCGAUUGCACUGCAUCUCGAUGAAAUAACAGCAGAGCGAAGAGAAUUGUAAACGAUUCCAGAUCACCAAUACUGAAAUCACAAUAUAAUUAAUGUGUGUGUGUCCACGUUAUCGAUUAUACAUGUAAUUUAUCAGACACACAAUUACACGGUUCAUUGAUUAUAAUUUAAAAUUAUAAAAUUAUAAAAUCGAUAAAUAUAAAUUAUUGGAAAAUUGUUAA